ACAAAGGUGUAUAGAAUUGCCAAUCUCCUGGAAGUACCUAAAGCCAUUAUUGUCGGGAUGGAGAGGAAUCCAUAAGAGGCAGAACUUUUCUGGUGAAACAGUCUCUCAAUGGAAAAUCAAGUGGAGAAUUGAAGAGUGAGCCAGAUCUGUUUGUAGAGUUGUGAUUAAACCUGUAUGACUAGUAAGAGGAAAAAAAGUCACAUGACCUGUAUUAAAAGAGUACACAGAAGGAAUUGACAUUUUCUUCCCAUUAGCUGGCAAAGAAUGAUAAAUGUCAACCAAUUUUUCUGUAUUGACCCUGUGUUCCAGGAAUCAGAUGAAGAAAAAAUUUUUUCAGUCCAACCUAUAUAUCAACUGCUAUUUUGUUCAUAGAAUGAUGGGGGUUGAUCCUGCAAUACACAGAAUUAAGAAAACUUCAAGUUGAUGUCCAGUUCACUCUUUAUAUUUAUCAGGAGGACGGCCCCAUCCGCGUCAGCACUGCUCCUGCUCUAGACGCCCCGGAACCUUCAGCAGCUGCUGCAGGGCGGCUGGAAUCAGACUCGCCACCUGCACGGUCGAGGGCAGGACCCCCAGGAGCGCCACUGGACCCAUCUCUUACACAGGCUGACUGAUUUCUCCUGGUGUUCAGAGUCUGUUUUUGUCUAGCACCAUUUGAAAUCGGUUAUGAUGUAGGGGGAAAAGCAGCAGCCUCAAAGCCUCAUGCCAACCCUGGUGAGCAAGCGCCUGUCUCCUGGAGGACGGAUGGGCAGAGAGUGGGGAAGGACCAUCUCGCGCUUUUUUCACUAACUUCUUUAACUGCAUUUAUGAUGCCUUAUUGCAGAGGUAAGAGAGAACUGAAUGUAUUUUGAAAAACAAAUGGCCAUAAUGCAUCUGAUGUCCCGGGUUGCAUGUUGCCGAAACGUGGCAGGUGCUGCAUGUGCUGUCAGCGGUUGCUGUUGAAUCAUCUUUCCGUGAAGAGUCUGUUCGUGCCUCCUGACCUGAAUAAAUGCUUCACUCUACUCAAUUAAUCAUGUCUUUGUUUUUCAUCUGUCAUUUCCUAUUCAUAAUUCCAUGAUAAGCGGGGUCCUGAAAAGGUGACUUGAGAUGUAGAUUUACCCACUUCCUAAGCAUUUGAGAAGCCAGCCCGUUAGGACAAGAAUGGAAUUCUGUGAGCCAAGAAACAUACAUGAGAGAAAAGAUCACAGAAAAGAGAGAUGUUCAAGCCCGGGCCAAGGGAUGCUGCUUAUGGAAGGGGAAACUGAGGCUGGUUCCAAAUGGACUGGAGCCCUGGCACCUCUGCGGUCCGUGAUCCUUUGAGAAAUGUGGUUGAACCGAACCCACUGUCACAUGGCUGGUAAAGGAGAGCAGCCUGAGGAUUUCCCUUACUUCAUAAAAGAUGCCGGAGGUCUACUUGUGGUUCAUAGUUUCUAUGAACCCUGAAGACCAGGGCGGACCAGUUCUGGAAAGGAAUCACAGCAAGGACAGGAACCUCUGAAUAAUGACCAAGUUGGAAGGACUUCAGGAAUGUCAAAUGCCUGGAGACUCCACAGGAGGGCAGCAGUGCUACGCGGUGGAAAGACUGACCACUUCAGUCCAGUGCAACCUUUUCUGAUGAAGCUGGAAAUGAGGAAAGCAACAUUCCCUAGGUGGGGAAACAACAACAAAAACCGUGUGCACGGGUACUCAGUUUUGCAUCCUUGCUGGAAGUCAGUAGACUAUGUUAAACCCUGGUCUAUGCAAACGCGUAAAGUACGCAAAGAAGUUCAUUCUUGGUUGCAGCUAGCUGUCAGGAAUUACUAAAGUUUAGAAUACUGGAGUUGCCUAUUUUCCUUAAACCAAGAAUAUUCUUUAACAAUACAAUUCCAGCCUCUCCCGUGUUUCUUUGGCAUUCCCACAGAAUACUUUUUAUUAUUAGAAACCUUAAACUCUUGGGGCUCCUGGGUAGCUCAGUUGGUAAGCGUCUGCCUUCGGUUCAGGUCAUGGUCCCAAGGUCCUGGGAUUGAGCCCCGCAUGCGGCUCCCUGCUCGCGGGAAGCCUGCUUCUCCCUCUCCCACUCCCCCUGCUUCUGUUCCCUCUCUCGCUGUGUCUCUGUCAAAUAAAUUAAAUAAAUAAAUUGAAACUUUAGACUCUCCCUGUAUAUUUGAUGCCAAGUUAUAAAAAUAUGCUAUAGUUUAAAGCCCAAUAAAAUGUUUUCCU
This is a long non-coding RNA of Zalophus californianus (California sea lion), 2175 nucleotides long. RefSeq lists it as uncharacterized. NCBI's taxonomy places the organism in Eukaryota, Metazoa, Chordata, Mammalia, Carnivora, Otariidae. The transcript is spliced from 5 exons. The record is from RefSeq and is a predicted model, not a curated record.